Lepidothrix coronata (blue-crowned manakin) is the source of this 107-nucleotide long non-coding RNA. RefSeq lists it as uncharacterized. NCBI's taxonomy places the organism in Eukaryota, Metazoa, Chordata, Aves, Passeriformes, Pipridae. The record is from RefSeq and is a predicted model, not a curated record. The transcript is spliced from 3 exons.
ACACGUUCGGAGUGCUACAGUCCGCAUACCUGUCUGGGGUGCUGUUUGAAUCUUACAACCUAGGGCAACUAGAAUCCGCUCCGUGAAGAAAAUAACAGGGAUUGAGG